RNAcentral lists this long non-coding RNA (882 nucleotides) under Homo sapiens (human). RNAcentral's name for it is "non-protein coding LINC01227:6". The record is from RNAcentral. Lineage: Eukaryota; Metazoa; Chordata; Mammalia; Primates; Hominidae.
AGCCAUCAUGGUAGGGUGUCCAGGGUGAGGGGAGGGUGGUGUGAAUCCCCAGUAAUGCAGGUCCUUUCCAGGCCAGGCCCCUGGUCCCCAGGAGUGCGGGGAUGCCUGAGGUCUACUGCUGCCUUAUCCAGAGCUGCCAUCCCCGGCGAUGACUCAGAGUUCCUGUGGCCCCAGCAUCAUCCCUCCAUCCCUGGCUGUGAGGCAGGAGCAGAGUUGCAGACCUGAGAGGCCUUGAAUUUGUUUGAUAUAGGACUUUGCCACCAGACAAAGUGCUUUGCCUGUGAGGUCUGGCUUGGCCUGGCCUCUGAGAAAGAACAAACACAGACCUCACUGGAAGGAACCUGGAGAACGGGAGAGGAGAGGCUGCUGCUGUCUGCCCUCCCAGCAGCAGAUAUAAAGACAAUGGGCUUCUAAGUCCCCUAGAGUCCCAGCUGUGUAAUUUAAGGAAGGAGCAUGGAGAAGACAAGAACAAGGCUCUCAGAAGGAAAUGGUGUGGCUGGAGCCAUGAGAACUGGUUGUGGAGGGGGUGAGGAAGGCAAAUAUAAUUUCUGACCUACGUAAUGAUGUAUGCACAAGAAGCCUCUCUUGAAUGUAUUAAUUCAGUAAACAGUUAUGGAGUCCUUACAAUGUGCUAGUGGGACUUUGAAGAUGAAUCCAAAUUUGGAUCCUGGCCUGGAAAGGCUCAAAGCCCAAUAUGGGAGCCUGGAUACAAAUGUGAAACUUAUCUUCUUUUAUUAACCAAUCAAUCACCUCCUGCCAAAACAACAUCAGCAAAAACAACAGAAAAAAACAAAAACAAAAACAAAAACAAAUCUGUGUACACAAGACCUUUGUUUCCACAGCAGACUUGGCUAAAGGUUUGGGCAUGCAUAUGCAUACCCC